AUACAACUCAUCAACCCUGUGAACAUACCUAAACGUUGCAUUCGGCGGGAACAGACGGCCCCGUAACACGGGCCGCCCCCGCCAGAGGACCCCCUAACUCUGUUUCUAUAAUGUUUCUUCUGAGUAAAACAAGCAAAUAAAUUAAAACUUUCAACAACGGAUCUCUUGGCUCUGGCAUCGAUGAAGAACGCAGCGAAAUGCGAUAAGUAAUGUGAAUUGCAGAAUUCAGUGAAUCAUCGAAUCUUUGAACGCACAUUGCGCCCGCCAGUAUUCUGGCGGGCAUGCCUGUUCGAGCGUCAUUACAACCCUCAGGCCCCCGGGCCUGGCGUUGGGGAUCGGCGGAGCCCCCCGCGGGCACACGCCGUCCCCCAAAUACAGUGGCGGUCCCGCCGCAGCUUCCAUUGCGUAGUAGCUAACACCUCGCAACUGGAGAGCGGCGCGGCCACGCCGUAAAACCCCCAACUUCUGAACGUUGACCUCGAAUCAGGUAGGAAUACCCGCUGAACUUAAGCAUAUCAAUAAGCGGAGGAAAAGAAACCAACAGGGAUUGCCCUAGUAACGGCGAGUGAAGCGGCAACAGCUCAAAUUUGAAAUCUGGCUCUCGGGCCCGAGUUGUAAUUUGUAGAGGAUGCUUUUGGUGAGGUGCCUUCCGAGUUCCCUGGAACGGGACGCCACAGAGGGUGAGAGCCCCGUCUGGUUGGACACCGAUCCUCUGUAAAGCUCCUUCGACGAGUCGAGUAGUUUGGGAAUGCUGCUCUAAAUGGGAGGUAUAUGUCUUCUAAAGCUAAAUACCGGCCAGAGACCGAUAGCGCACAAGUAGAGUGAUCGAAAGAUGAAAAGAACUUUGAAAAGAGAGUUAAAAAGUACGUGAAAUUGUUGAAAGGGAAGCGCUUGUGACCAGACUUGGGCUUGGUUGAUCAUCCAGGGUUCUCCCUGGUGCACUCUUCCGGCCCAGGCCAGCAUCAGUUCGCCCCGGGGGAAAAAGGCUUCGGGAAUGUGGCUCUCUCCGGGGAGUGUUAUAGCCCGUU
RNAcentral lists this ribosomal RNA (1028 nucleotides) under fungal sp. RNAcentral describes it as "eukaryotic LSU rRNA". The stretch from base 474 to 1028 matches the Rfam family "Eukaryotic large subunit ribosomal RNA", at positions 1 to 567 of the family's 3401-position model. The record is from RNAcentral. Lineage: Eukaryota; Fungi.